UCUACAUCAUGGAUACACUUAACUUUUUUAUUAUAUCCACUAACUUUUUACAUUAAGCUGAGAAAUGUCCCUCAUGAAAUAUUGCAUUAUUUUUUCCUGAUAUGUGAAGGUAAUCCGGGCAGAUUUCCGGGUUUUGUAACUGGGCUUUGCGUGUUAUAUCCAAUAGGAUGCGUCUAAUUGUAUCACGUGAUUUAGAACCCCCCUAAUAGUUGGUCCAAUCACGUGACCUGGACUAAUUGAAGUGAUUUGUUUGUAAUAGUGCAGCAGGUGGUUUUCAUGGCAAAAUAUUAUCAUGAAUUUCGAUUAUAAACAUGAAAAAUGGAGCCCAAAAGUGAAGAGAAAAGAGGGAAAAGGAAUUGGACAGCACAGAACUCGACUUUUUUAAUUGAUUAAUUAAUUUAUUUAAAUAUUUGGUCCUUCUGGUACGUCGUCUGGAGGAAGUCUGACUGCUCCAGGUUCCCGGUUCGAUCCUGAUCUCAGGAUACUGUUUGUAUGGAGUUUCACAUGUUCACCUCGUCUGCGUGGGUUUCCUCUGGGUUCUCCAGUCUCCCAAAAACAUACCAGUAGAUGAACAGGCUAUGCUAAAUUGCUCCAAGGGUAUAAGGUUCCUGUCAGCAGAAUGCUGAACACUCCUCCUGCAGGACUCACGCCUGUUACCGUCUCCAGAGACCUGCAGCACCAUCGCAAAACCAUUCAUCAUCUGCUAAGUGGCUUUGAGUGUGUUUGAGUGCAGAGCUCAUGUGUGUUUGGAACGUUGCCAUGUCUGAUACUUUACCUCAUUCCUGCUGCCAAAUAAUGAGCAAUGAAUUGAUUGAAUGAAUAGGUGUGCUGAUGUACAUUGACAUUACAAAAUAUAAUCCCACUUUUGUCUUUCAUUUAGGAAACACUACCCUUGUAACAGUUACAACAUGUAUUAGGAAAUACUCAUGUAGUUCCUUCUGUUAAUGUUUUUCUAAUUUUUUUUUUAACAAAGCUUCUCUUUCUUCUCUCAGACUACCUUAGAAGAGUCAUUUCACUGCAUCUAAAUAGAUGGACAUGAUCUCAGAAGCGUGACAGUAAAUGUGUACAUGAUGACUUUGUUAAGGCUGUUUGUAAGUGCUGCUCCUCACACGGGGAACCAGUAAGUUAGUGCUGCAGGAAAAUGGUUAUUUAACAAGGCUUACAGCACAACACCUCCAGACUGGUGAAGAGUAACACUCUACAUGUUAAAUAUUUUGGUUUAAUAGGUUACAUACCUAUUCAUGAAAUAAUUUUUUUUUCCCCUAAGCAGAACUUUCUAGUCUAAUCUCUAAUCCUGUAAGAGUGUCACUGAACACUGGAAUGUUGAGGAGAACAAACUGUAUGCCAAAGGCUAGUUUUAUGUCCCUGGAUGUAUUUUGACUUCCUGUUUGUCUCUCUCUACCAUGCAUUUUUUGGAUAUCCCAGAAGAGAACCAGAUUCAACACAGGGAUUGGCAGAUCAGGAAUGAUGUCAUUACCUUAACAUGUAUAAAAGGGAGAAUGUCGACAACAGGUUUCCACUCAUUAUUGUCUGUCCCAUAUAUCGGCCGAAGUUUGCAUAUUCCAGCUUUACGCUAGUUUUUGUACUUUGUAUACCACAGGUCUAGCGAACUGUAAAUUGUGUAUGUAAACUGUAUUCACAUCUGUACUUGAUACACUUUAUCAGCUUGUGUUAAUUAUACAACUAAAAAUGUGGCAUCAAGUUGUAACAUUUAUAAACCUUGCAUAAACAUCUUGAGAAAUGGGGAAAAAGCUUGACAGAUUGAGAGCUGCAGUGUCCAGAAAUUGUUUUAGUAAUCUGAAAAUUUCAGCCACCCUCAUAGUGCACUGUGGGUAAUAUACACUAAAUGGCCAAAAGUUUGUGGACACCUGACCAUCACAUCCAUACUGUAUAGGUUUUUUGUAUGCUGUAGCAUUAUAAUUUCCCUUUCUUGGAACUAAGGGACCGCAACCUGGUCCAGCAUUACAAUGCCCCUGUGCACAAAGUGAAGUCCUCAACCCCACUGAACACCUUUGGGAUGAACUGGCACUUUGGCGACUACACCCCAUGCCUCCUAGCAUGACAUAAGUGCCUAGCCUAACUAAUGCUGAUGUGGCUGAAUGAGAAAAUCCUCACAGCCACACUACAAAAUCUAGUGGGAAGCCUUCACAGAAGAGUGGAGGUUAUUAUAACAGCAAAGGGGAAUAAGUUUGGGAUGUUCAGCAAGCACAAGUGAUGGUCAGGGGUACACAAACUUCUGGCCAUAUAGGGUCCCUUGAAAACAAAAUGCGUUAUAGCAUUUAUUUAUUUAUACAUGGCUAACGUUAUAAUAAGCACAGUAACCAGAGACGAUUUAUAGCUAAAUCUGCUGAACACAUAACCAUGACUUUGUACUUACAUGUUGCUCUGACAGAGAGACUCGAUACAUAUGGAGGCCUUCACACUGUCUUUUUGUCGUGCCUGGGUCCUUUUCUGAGUCUCACUGGAUUCUGAAAAAACACAAUGUAAUGAGGGAUGCGUUGUAGUGGGUGGAUGCUGGGUGUAAAGAACACACCCUGUUCCCCUGAGCUUUAUCUGUCACUGCUGAAUAAAUAAAUGAUGCAACCACGCUGCAGGGACUGCACGAGCUUUAACAUGCAGAAUGAUACAAUGAUUGUGGUUGGAGGCAGAAUGUGAAAUAUUCUCAGUAUGAAGACCAUACAGUUUAAUAUCAGAGUUGCCAGUACAUCACAGUCAUAGAUGAAAAGCUCUUUAGUAAUUGUACUUCACUGCUUUACAUUAUUUUAGGUCGUUUAUAUUUUACCUCGGAAUAAUUUUAAAUUAGUAUGAUUACUCAAAUAACAUUUCGUUAAAAAUGUAUUCAGUCAAAUAUUUUUCUACCAAUCCAAUUUGUACAACUUUAUUUCUUAACUACACUUAAAACAUCCAUUCAAAUCCAUACUGACUUUAUACCCUAAAGUUCACGGAGAAAAAACCAAAAAAAAUCUAUAUUCAUAUGAAUUAAGUCAUAAGAAAAGCUAUGUUAAUGCCGUCCCUAACCCUUAACCUUCAUAACUGUUCAUAGGAACAGAAGUUGAAGAAAAAAAAAAAAACAUGCCCCUAAAUCUUACCUUUCAUAACUGUUUAUACAAAUUAAGCUAUAAGAAAAGUUACAAAUGUAAACUCCGCCCCAACCCUUAACCGUGGUACCUGUUCAUACGGAUUAAGUCAGAAAAAAAGAUACAAUCGCUAACCCCGCCCUCAAUUCAUAUUAACAGUUACAAAACUUGAUGGUUAAGGGUGGGACUAGUGGUUAUAACUUUUCUUCUGACUUAAUUCACAUGAACAGUUAAGAAAAGGUACAAAUUCUAACCCCACCCCUAAGUCUUACCUUAAGAUUUUGCCAUAAUACACCACACUUUCACUGAAGUAUAAUUUUUCCGUUUAGAGUUAAACGCUUAUGCACAUCAUAAAGCAUGUUUUAUGUUCAUAACUGUCUUGUUUCUUUCAAAAUGAUGAUUAUGUGACUACACAGCAGACAUCAGCCUAAAACCACACAGCCCUACAUCAUUGUGUAAUGUGUGCAUUGUG
This is a long non-coding RNA of Pangasianodon hypophthalmus (striped catfish), 3549 nucleotides long. RefSeq lists it as uncharacterized. The record is from RefSeq and is a predicted model, not a curated record. The transcript is spliced from 3 exons. Lineage: Eukaryota; Metazoa; Chordata; Actinopteri; Siluriformes; Pangasiidae.